RNAcentral lists this ribosomal RNA (333 nucleotides) under uncultured eukaryote. RNAcentral's name for it is "SSU rRNA". It matches the Rfam family "Eukaryotic small subunit ribosomal RNA", at positions 1471 to 1801 of the family's 1831-position model. The record is from RNAcentral.
CCUUAGAUGUUCUGGGCCGCACGCGCGCUACACUGACAGAGCCAGCGAGUUUCUCACCUUGGCCGGAAGGUCUGGGUAAUCUUGUGAAACUCUGUCGUGCUGGGGAUAGAGCAUUGCAAUUAUUGCUCUUCAACGAGGAAUUCCUAGUAAGCGUGAGUCAUCAGCUCGCGUUGAUUACGUCCCUGCCCUUUGUACACACCGCCCGUCGCUACUACCGAUUGAAUGGCUUAGUGAGGUCUUCGGAUUGGCUUCGGAGGGCCGGAAACGGCCCACUGUUGCUGAGAAGUUGAUCAAACUUGGUCAUUUAGAGGAAGUAAAAGUCGUAACAAGGUU